Molecule: ribosomal RNA, 504 nt
Filed under: uncultured bacterium
Lineage: Bacteria
Description: bacterial SSU rRNA
Rfam family: Bacterial small subunit ribosomal RNA
Source: RNAcentral
UGAGUAAUGUCUGGGAAACUGCCUGAUGGAGGGGGAUAACUACUGGAAACGGUAGCUAAUACCGCAUAACGUCGCAAGACCAAAGAGGGGGACCUUCGGGCCUCUUGCCAUCAGAUGUGCCCAGAUGGGAUUAGCUAGUAGGUGGGGUAAUGGCUCACCUAGGCGACGAUCCCUAGCUGGUCUGAGAGGAUGACCAGCCACACUGGAACUGAGACACGGUCCAGACUCCUACGGGAGGCAGCAGUGGGGAAUAUUGCACAAUGGGCGCAAGCCUGAUGCAGCCAUGCCGCGUGUGGGAAGAAGGCCUUCGGGUUGUAAAGCACUUUCAGCGAGGAGGAAGGUGGUGAGCUUAAUACGCUCAUCAAUUGACGUUACUCGCAGAAGAAGCACCGGCUAACUCCGUGCCAGCAGCCGCGGUAAUACGGAGGGUGCAAGCGUUAAUCGGAAUUACUGGGCGUAAAGCGCACGCAGGCGGUUUGUUAAGUCAGAUGUGAAAUCCCCGGG